GAAUCUAGCUUCAGGUUUGGGACAACCACUGGAAACGGUGGCUAAUACCGAAUGUGCCGAGAGGUGAAAGGCUUGCUGCCUGAAGAUGAGCUCGCGUCUGAUUAGCUAGUAGGUGGGGUAAGAGCCUACCUAGGCGACGAUCAGUAGCUGGUCUGAGAGGAUGAUCAGCCACACUGGGACUGAGACACGGCCCAGACUCCUACGGGAGGCAGCAGUGGGGAAUUUUCCGCAAUGGGCGAAAGCCUGACGGAGCAAUACCGCGUGAGGGAGGAAGGCUCUUGGGUUGUAAACCUCUUUUCUCAGGGAAGAACACAAUGACGGUACCUGAGGAAUCAGCAUCGGCUAACUCCGUGCCAGCAGCCGCGGUAAUACGGAGGAUGCAAGCGUUAUCCGGAAUGAUUGGGCGUAAAGCGUCCGCAGGUGGCUGUGUAAGUCUGCUGUCAAAGAGCGAAGCUCAACUUCGUAAAGGCAGUGGAAACUACACGGCUAGAGUGCGUUCGGGGCAGAGGGAAUUCCUGGUGUAGCGGUGAAAUGCGUAGAGAUCAGGAAGAACACCGGUGGCGAAGGCGCUCUGCUAGGCCGCAACU
This 587-nucleotide ribosomal RNA is filed under the name Nostoc sp. MZ44.4SOIL. RNAcentral describes it as "bacterial SSU rRNA". It matches the Rfam family "Bacterial small subunit ribosomal RNA", at positions 122 to 741 of the family's 1533-position model. RNAcentral also lists the same sequence under 1 other name. Lineage: Bacteria; Bacillati; Cyanobacteriota; Cyanophyceae; Nostocales; Nostocaceae. The record is from RNAcentral.